This is a long non-coding RNA of Pezoporus flaviventris, 305 nucleotides long. RefSeq lists it as uncharacterized. The record is from RefSeq and is a predicted model, not a curated record. NCBI's taxonomy places the organism in Eukaryota, Metazoa, Chordata, Aves, Psittaciformes, Psittacidae. The transcript has 2 exons.
AGGGAUGAGUGAAGAGCUGGCUGCUCGUCCCUGCGAGAGAGGGGUAUCUCAGCCGCCGGGACCCCUGGCGGGGAGGAAGGCGCUUCCUGUGGUCGGCCUCAGCCCCCACCGCAGACCGAGGCCCCGGCCGCCCCGCCGCGUUCACUCCCAGCUUCCACAGAGUGCCUGGUGUUUCUCGGUUUGAUGUUUCUCCCUGAAGAAUCUUACUUGCAAAAGAUCAAUAUCUGCAGCUUGGCCAGUCAGGAAGACCAAUUGUGUCACUGGCCACCUGAACUACAAGAGCACAUUAAAGCAUUUUAAGAAAU